GGCAGACGGCUGAGUAACGCGUGGGUGACGUACCUGUUGGUGGGGAAUAACUGCCCGAAAGGGUGGCUAAUUCCGCAUACGCCUGAUCUUUUGGUAGGUCAGGGAAAGCUUCGCAAGAGGCGCUGAUGGAGCGGCCCGCGUCCGAUUAGCUGGUUGGUGGGGUAACGGCCUACCAAGGCGUCGAUCGGUAGCUGGUCUCAGAGGAUGAUCAGCCAGACUGGGACUGAGACACGGCCCAGACUCCUACGGGAGGCAGCAGUUAGGAAUUUUGGGCAAUGGGCGAAAGCCUGACCCAGCAACGCCGCGUGGGUGACGAAGGCCUUCGGGUUGUAAAGCCCUUUUCUGAGGGAAGAUUGUGACGGUACCUCAGGAAUAAGCACCGGCUAACUACGUGCCAGCAGCCGCGG
Molecule: ribosomal RNA, 407 nt
Filed under: uncultured bacterium
Lineage: Bacteria
Description: bacterial SSU rRNA
Rfam family: Bacterial small subunit ribosomal RNA
Source: RNAcentral